Molecule: ribosomal RNA, 450 nt
Filed under: uncultured bacterium
Lineage: Bacteria
Description: bacterial SSU rRNA
Rfam family: Bacterial small subunit ribosomal RNA
Source: RNAcentral
GUGGGGAAUAUUGGACAAUGGGCGAAAGCCUGAUCCAGCCAUGCCGCGUGUGUGAAGAAGGUCUUCGGAUUGUAAAGCACUUUAAGUUGGGAGGAAGGGCAGUAAGUUAAUACCUUGCUGUUUUGACGUUACCAACAGAAUAAGCACCGGCUAACUUCGUGCCAGCAGCCGCGGUAAUACGAAGGGUGCAAGCGUUAAUCGGAAUUACUGGGCGUAAAGCGCGCGUAGGUGGUUCAGCAAGUUGGAGGUGAAAUCCCCGGGCUCAACCUGGGAACUGCCUCCAAAACUGCAUGACUAGAGUACGGUAGAGGGUAGUGGAAUUUCCUGUGUAGCGGUGAAAUGCGUAGAUAUAGGAAGGAACACCAGUGGCGAAGGCGACUACCUGGACUGAUACUGACACUGAGGUGCGAAAGCGUGGGGAGCAAACAGGAUUAGAUACCCGUGUAGUCC